GACUAAAUGUUGCAUAAUUGGAUGUAAAAACGUUGGCAUUCACAAAUUUCCAAUUAAUCCUACUUUAAAAAGAAGUGGAUAGUUGCCGUGAGAAUUAAAAACUUCACGCCUACGAAGUACUCGAGGUUAUGUCGGGACCAUUUUAAUGAAGAAGACUAUCAGUCUAUGAGUGUGACUACUGGCUUACUUUGUGGACGUUUCCCAUGGAACCAGAAGAUAUUUUCCAAUAGUUCACGUGCAAGAGAAAAAAGAAUUCGCAGAAGAAAUAUAAAAAAGAAACUUUUUGACCAACUAUCUAGUGAUAUACUUACACCAAUUUCUCCUGCACUAGAUCCACAGCCAUCUACUUCAUUCAAUACUCCGGAUACCAAUAACCAGGAAGAAUUCAAAGAAUCCUUAAAUUCAACAUCUGCUGAUCAUGGUGACCAUAUUUCAACUCGAAAUUCUCAGAAAACAGUGAGCACUCAGACAUCAACACUGCUAUCUUUAUUUUCAAGUGACAUUUUACUCAGUGAUAAUGAGUCGGUUCGAUUCUACACUGGUCUAGAGAGUAUUGAAAAAUUUAAGUUAGUAUUCUCAACAUUAUUGCCUAUGGCAGAAAAUCUUACAUAUAGAUGGUCUGGUUCUUACUUAUGUUAAUUAAACUUAGGAGAGCUAAACCUGACCUUGAAUUAUAUAAAAUGUUUGGAGUCAGCAAGACACAAGUGUCAAACAUAUUUAUAACCUGGGUAAAUUUUGUCCAUGAUUUGUGGUCAAUCAUAGAUAUAUGGCCUCAAAGAUAUCUUAUAAAUUAUUAUAUGCCUGCAGAAUACAAAGAAUACAAAAUGCCCACCAGAGUUAUUAUUGACUGCACUGAAAUACCAAUUACUAAACCUGGUGACCCAAUGUCCAAGCAGAUCAUAUCAGCUCCUACAAAAAUAGAAACACAAUAAAAUUUUUAGUUGGUGCUACACCAGGAGGGUUGAUUUCAUAUUGUUCUGAAGGCUAUGGAGGAUCAACUAGUGAUAGGCAAAUGAUAGAGCGAAGUAGCCUUAUGGAAUUAUGUGAUGAAGAAGACAGCAUAAUGGCAGACCGCGGUUUUAAUGUACAAGACCUCUUUGCAUCCAAGAACAUUGGUAUAAAUAUUCCCCAUUUUUUAAAAGGUAAGGCUCAGCUGCCUGGUCUUGCACUUUUACAUGACAGAAAAAUAGCUGCACAAAGAGUACAUAUUGAACGACUUAUUGGCCUAACUAAAACUUUCAAGAUUUUAAAAAUGGAAAUGAAUGCAUAUUAUGUUCCAUUAGCAUCCAAAAAUUUUUAUAUUUGUGUAAUGUUGUGUAAUUUUAGAGAAUGUAUAGUAAAUAAAAAAUAAAAGCCUGAUAUGUUAUUAAUCAUUGUUUUUAUUGAUUACAUUAUAAUAAUCUUUAUAUAAAUACUUAUUUAUAAUUUCAAGCUUCAUACAAUUGUUGUAAAAACUGUCUAAUUUCUUUAUCAUCUCCUUGAACUAGAUGCAGAUCAUACAUUUCAGAAUAUUUUUUUAUGGCAGUCUUUUCAUGCAUAAGGCCAUGUGCUGUGGCUCUUGACGUAAAUUUCUUUUUUGCAAUAGUUGUUUAGCUAAAGACUGUUAGGAUUGUGUCCUCAAGUGACACACCGUAUGAAAAACACUGGCUGUUAUUCUGCAACUACGAAGUUCAUGCCAAAGUGGGUUUUUAAUUUGGUUCCUAGUUUUUAUUUCAAUAGACAUUAAGUAUUUCAUGUUCAGUUAUUUUUGUUAAUUUAAGUUUGUCUAAAAUUAUUUGUUCCUGGUUUUUUUCUAGGUAGUCAUGGUCUUGUAGGAUCGCAAUAGGGUUUGCUGGUAUCAACAGUUGUUUAAGGGGCAUAUUUGACUUGAAAUUCAAGAUCAAAUUUCGGAUUCUUGAAUUAUAAUUAUUUUUAUUAAUUGUCCCCCAUUGGGUAUGCUUCAAAAAUUACAUUUUUGCUAGACCUUCUAGGUAAAUCUUUAACUUUAACAGGUGUCCCAGAAAAUGUUUUCCUUGGCUUAUGAAAAGCAACUGCUGCGUUUUUGUCUCUGUAGUUAACAUUAUUUUGUCUUGUUUCAUGUGUAAUAUAGCAAACAACAGUACACCAAUAUGCUUACAAUGAGCUUCAAUUCCGGCUCCUGCUGGACAUUCACAAUGGCAUUCUUCAAUACUGCCAUUUCUAUCAAGUUUGAUGUCAACUUGAUAUUGUAAUUUCUUCAUGUUUUUUUUUUACAAAACCUCUGAUAUAAAAACUGUCAUUCACAAAAGCAGAUCUUGCAAGUAAUAAACAUUUUGCUUCUUAUAACUUCUCUGCAGCGUCAGUUUUCUUAUUAAACCUAAAAUAAAAGAAUGUAAUUGUAAUAAUAUGAAUACACUGGCUCAAAAAAUCUAUAAGUAGAAAUAUAAUUAUUUACCUUUCAAAAUAAUAUCUCAGAUAAUGCCUUUGAAGUGGUGGUAACAUAGAGGCACUAUUUAUGUCAUGAUACAUUAUCACUGGUGGAAAUUCCAUAGAGGGCUCUUGAUUUGGUGAAAGUAGUAGUGUAGUAAAGUUGAAAUUCUUGUCAUACAACUGUAAUCUGAAACAAUAUCCUAAAAUUAGUUACAUAAUAUAUACUUCAAUAGCAAAAUAAAGCUACAAGCCUACAUUAAAUACAUUCAAGACCUUCAGCUUGUCAAGAGCUAGUUUUGUAACUAGUAUGACCAACAUUAUUAUCUAGUCCCUAACUAAUUUUCGCAUAGUUAUUAAACUAAAUUGUGGAAUAUUUUAAUAAUUAAAAUUGGAUAAUAUUAUUGGGUUCACUGGGUAUCAAGUCAUAAAAACUUAAUGUAUAGUUUAUGUAAGAUUGCAUAGUAUCAGUUACAAAACAAGAUCACGGCAUCAUAUCAAAGAAAUGUGUCUGAAAACAUUAUAAUAACAAAAAUACCUUUCCACCAAAUCAGCUUUCCUUCCUUUAACGGACGCACCUCGUCUCUUUAAUUCAGCUUUUAACUGAAGUAGACUCCAAGAAGAAUACAUUGUCACAUCCAUUACACUGAUAAAUAGCUCAAUUCCAACGCAAAAUGAUUUUAUUCCUUUUGUUUACAAGCGGCGUAAACUGUCAAACUGACGCCAGUGAGAACAAGCAUACGCAGCGCCAUCUGAGAUUAGCUUUAACUUGCCAUCCUCAUUCAGUUCGAAUAAAAAAUGUCAACGCAUACCCAGUUCUGCGUUUCAUUUAAUCAAAACGAAAA
Molecule: long non-coding RNA, 3230 nt
Organism: Manduca sexta (tobacco hornworm)
Lineage: Eukaryota; Metazoa; Arthropoda; Insecta; Lepidoptera; Sphingidae
Exons: 2
Source: RefSeq, a predicted model, not a curated record